UUGAAGCUCCAUUGUUAGAACUGUUCGAGAAAUGCAGGACUUGCGGUGCGGCGUGCAAAGUGGGCACAGAGGUUCGAGGGACACUUCUCACCGUAAAAGCUGAGUGCCCAAGUGAGCACACUUUAUCUUGGAAAAGCCAGCCAGAGGUGAACAGGAUGGCUGCAGGAAACAUCUUGCUGUCUGGCGCAAUACUUUUCAGUGGGGCUAGUGCAACCAAGGUUCUCCGGUUACUCGAGUCAAUUAAUGUUCAGGUGAUCUCGAAGGUAGCAUACAACACCUACCAGAGAGGGUGCCUACUCCCUGCCGUGACACAGGUCUCGACUACAGAAAGAGAAUGCCUGCUCUCGUCACUUCAAGACAGGAACGUGGACCUUUUGGGUGAUGGCAGGUGUGACUCCCCUGGGCACUCUGCUAAGUGCCUCACAUACAGCUUUAUGGAUGCAGCAUCACAGAAGAUCAUCAACUCUGUGCAAAUUCAG
This is a long non-coding RNA of Ornithodoros turicata, 479 nucleotides long. RefSeq lists it as uncharacterized. The record is from RefSeq and is a predicted model, not a curated record. Lineage: Eukaryota; Metazoa; Arthropoda; Arachnida; Ixodida; Argasidae. The transcript is spliced from 3 exons.